Molecule: long non-coding RNA, 149 nt
Organism: Pieris rapae (cabbage white)
Lineage: Eukaryota; Metazoa; Arthropoda; Insecta; Lepidoptera; Pieridae
Exons: 3
Source: RefSeq, a predicted model, not a curated record
UUAAGAUAAUGAAGAGGCUGUUUGUCAUUGGUCUGUGUCUUGCUGUGGUCUUGGCAGCGCCCAGGCCAGACGAUGAUGACGAUCACGACUUAGAUGAUAAUAAACCACAGCAACCACGCGCUCAAAGAAGGUUCCAGCAACAAUAUCAG